This 301-nucleotide long non-coding RNA is filed under the name Bos taurus (domestic cattle). RNAcentral describes it as "long non-coding RNA NONBTAT014315". Lineage: Eukaryota; Metazoa; Chordata; Mammalia; Artiodactyla; Bovidae. The record is from RNAcentral.
UUUUCAACCUUUAUUACCCAUAACCCUUGUGCUUUCUCACUCCAUGUUUUGAAUAUCCCCUCCCAACUAGAAAGCUGUACUUUUUAUAAACAAAAAGUGAAAACAAACAAAAAAACCCCACAAAAAUAGAAACAUACACACAAAACUGAAAUACUUUCUUACAAUACACUAAUCCUCCCACUUGUGACCACUGGCCCCAGGGGUACUCAUUGUUCCUGUGGCUUCUGUCCCUGCCUCCCUUGAACAAAAAUGUCUUCUGCAGUCCUUCCUUCUAGAAAUCUUUAGACUUCUGCAAUUGCUC